AGGAAAACACUCAGAUGUGUGGAAAAUUAUAGCCGCUGUUCUAAUUCCAAUCGUAUUAGUCCAGAUGAUCAUCAUCAUUGUUCUCGUCUGUUGGAAACGUAUCUGUGAAACUGAAUCCAGACCCGAGACUCGUAUUGAACUUCAGAACAUAAAUGAACAACAGCCACUGAACCCAGACUCAUCAGAAGUGCCUGAACAUGACGAGAGUGAGGAAGGGCAUCUGACGCAAAACCAAAGUGACCAGUGAAACGUGCAAACAUUUGAAGGUGUUUGGAGACAGUGGUGAACUCAGAGGAACAAGCCAAGAAGAACUUAACAACAGUUUAACUCUUCCAGACCAAAGGGGAUUUUUAGAACAUUUGUUCUCACCUGGAUUUUUUUUCUUAAUUUUGCUUUUAAAAAUUACUUCUCCAAACCUGAAAACUUGAAGGUCAUUGACUUGGGACUUGACUCAGACUUGAACCCUUUGACUUGAGAAGACUUGAUGCUUCUCCUAAAAUAUAUGUUUUUAUAAAAUA
Long non-coding RNA from Boleophthalmus pectinirostris (great blue-spotted mudskipper), 518 nucleotides. RefSeq lists it as uncharacterized. The transcript has 3 exons. The record is from RefSeq and is a predicted model, not a curated record. NCBI's taxonomy places the organism in Eukaryota, Metazoa, Chordata, Actinopteri, Gobiiformes, Gobiidae.